AAAUGACAACAAAGCUCCAAUGGCUUUGGCUGCGUAAGCAGUUCGAGACAUUGAACACUUAAGUCCUGUCGCCUAGCAGCGGCAGGCGGGGCUCGGAGGUGCCUGGCAACAGAAACCUCCACU
RNAcentral lists this transfer-messenger RNA (123 nucleotides) under Planktomarina sp. Its description in RNAcentral is "partial transfer-messenger RNA". It matches the Rfam family "Alphaproteobacteria transfer-messenger RNA", at positions 234 to 355 of the family's 355-position model. From Rfam's summary of the family: Bacterial tmRNA, also known as 10Sa RNA or SsrA, is named for its dual tRNA and mRNA-like properties. Lineage: Bacteria; Pseudomonadati; Pseudomonadota; Alphaproteobacteria; Rhodobacterales; Paracoccaceae. The record is from RNAcentral.